Molecule: long non-coding RNA, 207 nt
Filed under: Chloebia gouldiae (Gouldian finch)
Lineage: Eukaryota; Metazoa; Chordata; Aves; Passeriformes; Passeridae
Description: Erythrura gouldiae (Gouldian finch) lncRNA (ENSEGOG00005013894.1)
Source: RNAcentral
GAAAGGAGCCUAUUCCAAGAAGAUUCCAGACCUGACAUGCUGGAACACGAGGACACUCAGGCAGGGGCCGUGCAGGGAUCAGGAGCGCCCGGCUGCGAUAGGUGCGGCGAUGCCGCGCGCGCUGUGACAGCGAGGGAUGCACACGGACGCACGUGGAGAAGAGGUAGUAGCGAGGCUGAGCUGAGCGCGGGGAGGGAUCCCGUAGGC